RNAcentral lists this ribosomal RNA (680 nucleotides) under uncultured bacterium. Its description in RNAcentral is "bacterial SSU rRNA". It matches the Rfam family "Bacterial small subunit ribosomal RNA", at positions 8 to 691 of the family's 1533-position model. The record is from RNAcentral.
AGAGUUUGAUCAUGGCUCAGGAUUAAUGCUGGUGGUAUGCAUAACACAUGCAAGUCGAACGAGUGGAACUUGUUCUGCUAGUGGCGAACGGGCGAGUAAUACAUAUUUAACUUACUUUUACGAGGAGGAUAGCAGCUCGAAAGGGCUAUUAAUACUCCAUAGGUUUAUAAACUAAAUUAAAGAGGCUCCUCUGGGGCCUUGCGUAAAACUAGGAAUAUGUCCUAUUAGGUAGUUGGCGGGGUAAAGGCCCACCAAGCCAAUGAUGGGUAGCUGGACUGAGAGGUUGAACAGCCGCAAUGGGAUUGAGAUAUGGCCCAUAUUCCUACGGGAAGCAGCAGUGAGGAAUUUUUCACAAUGGACGAAAGUCUGAUGGAGCAAUACCACGUGAACGAUGAAGGUCUUCUGAUUGUAAAGUUCUUUUAUUUAGGAAAAAAAGCGCGCUAGGAAAUGAGCGCGCCUUGAUGGUACUAAUUGAAUAAGUGACAGCUAACUAUGUGCCAGCAGCUGCGGUAAAACAUAGGUCACGAGCAUUAUCCGGAUUUAUUGGGCGUAAAGGAAGCGUAGGCGGGGAGGUUGAUCCAUUGUUAAAAGCAUUUGCUUAACAAAUGUGUGCAUUGGAGAUCGCCUCCCUAGAGUUAAUCAGGGGGUACUGGAAUUCAAUGUGUAGCGGUGGAAUGCGU